Salvia hispanica is the source of this 859-nucleotide RNA transcript. It is a transcript of the gene named immune-associated nucleotide-binding protein 9-like, with no coding region annotated. The record is from RefSeq and is a predicted model, not a curated record. NCBI's taxonomy places the organism in Eukaryota, Viridiplantae, Streptophyta, Magnoliopsida, Lamiales, Lamiaceae.
AUUGAAUCAAAUCAACAAAAUGCAUCGUGUAAUCAAGUUUGGUUUGGUCCUCACGUUGAUCAUCCUCACAUCUGCAAGUAUCGGUGCAGCCGGUGCCAGAGGAGGCGGGACAAGGGGUUUAGGCUUCGGAAAACAAAUACGACUCUUCAUCUGAUACAGUAAUGUCACUCAGGAGAUGAAGACAAGAUCAGCAGGCAGAGGGAGGAGCUUCUCUCUCUUGUAGAGACUGUUUUAGAGGAAAAUGGAGGCACUCCAUACACUCAUCAACUCUUUCAACAUAUGAAGGUUGAGUUAAGUGAUUUAGAGUAAUUCUUUCUUUUAAAAUAUACUCCAUUAUUUAGCUUGCUAUUCAAAAUAACUGUGCCAAAUAAGAUGAAUCUAAAUGUCAUAAUCAAAUAGAUUGUUUUUGUUGUGACAGAUUGAUGAAGCUGCCCAAGGGAAAUCUACUGAGAAUGAGAUCAAUGUUGGUGGUUUGGUUGAGAUGGUAAUGUUAAGUACUUCAAAUUAAUAUCUACUUCUAGUUUUGUAACAUGUACUAAUAUCUCUACUAGCGGCUGAAGGAGAGUAUUUCGAGUCUGGAGAAGGCGCACAUGUCGCGGCAGAAGGAGAGUGUUUCGAGUCUGGAUAAGUUGUGGGCUGAGGAGAUGGCUGCUCGCGUGGAGGCAGAUAUGGCAAAAACAGAGCAUGGGUUGAACGAAUUGAGAGAGCGACUGAGCCAAGCUACUCAUCGCAGCCGGGAGCUUCAAGAACAUAUCAAUGGCAACCCUGAUUGUGUGAUAUUGUAAUGUGAUCUUCAUUCAAUCAACACCGGGAGCUUUGGUUUUUGCUAUGUUAUUUUUAUACAUGGAACUUUCCUUAU